AGCACUGCAUGGUAUCUGCACCCAGUCAUUUCUCUGGCUGGGUUGUUCAUUACGCAGUGCUAGAGCAAUUCUGUAUCUGGCAUCGUUGGUUUCCUCACUGCAGUGUGUGUGAUACCUGGUAUUUUUACUGAGACAAUG
This is a small nucleolar RNA of Erpetoichthys calabaricus (reedfish), 138 nucleotides long. Ensembl annotates it as small nucleolar RNA, H/ACA box 8. Its record names the gene SNORA8. The record is from Ensembl. NCBI's taxonomy places the organism in Eukaryota, Metazoa, Chordata, Cladistia, Polypteriformes, Polypteridae.